GGUAACGAAGUGAUUAAUUCAGUGGUAGAAUGCUCGCCCGCCACGCGGGUGACCAGGGUUCAGUCGCCGGCCAUCGCACCA
This is a non-coding RNA of Parelaphostrongylus tenuis, 81 nucleotides long. NCBI's taxonomy places the organism in Eukaryota, Metazoa, Nematoda, Chromadorea, Rhabditida, Metastrongylidae. The record is from the annotation of a GenBank genome assembly.